AGCAGCCGCGGUAAUUCCAGCUCCAAUAGCGUAUAUUAAAGUUGUUGCAGUUAAAAAGCUCGUAGUUGAAUUUCGGGAUCAAUUUGCUGGUCGUGCCUUCGGUACGCACUGGUAUUAUUGGUUUCUCCUUUCUGAUGAAUCGCGAUGUCAUUAAUUUGGUGUCGUGGGGAAUCAGGACUGUUACUUUGAAAAAUUAGAGUGUUUAAAGCAGGCUCACGCUUGAAUACAUUAGCAUGGAAUAAUGAAAUAGGACGUUUGAUUCUAUUUUGUUGGUUUCUAGGAUCGACGUAAUGAUUAAUAGGGAUAGUUGGGGGCAUUAGUAUUCAAUUGUCAGAGGUGAAAUUCUUGGAUUUAUUGAAGACUAACUACUGCGAAAGCAUUUGCCAAGGAUGUUUUCAUUAAUCAAGAACGAAAGUUAGGGGAUCGAAGACGAUCAGAUACCGUCGUAGUCUUAACCAUAAACUAUGCCGACUAG
This 475-nucleotide ribosomal RNA is filed under the name uncultured Glomus. Its description in RNAcentral is "SSU rRNA". It matches the Rfam family "Eukaryotic small subunit ribosomal RNA", at positions 569 to 1049 of the family's 1831-position model. The record is from RNAcentral. Lineage: Eukaryota; Fungi; Glomeromycota; Glomeromycetes; Glomerales; Glomeraceae.